Molecule: ribosomal RNA, 425 nt
Filed under: uncultured bacterium
Lineage: Bacteria
Description: partial 16S ribosomal RNA
Rfam family: Bacterial small subunit ribosomal RNA
Source: RNAcentral
GUGGGGAAUAUUGGACAAUGGGCGCAAGCCUGAUCCAGCAACGCCGCGUGAAUGAUGAAGGCCUUCGGGUCGUAAAGUUCUUUUGGUAGGGAAGAAAAUGACGGUACCUACAGAAUAAGCUCCGGCUAACUUCGUGCCAGCAGCCGCGGUAAUACGAAGGGGGCUAGCGUUGUUCGGAAUUACUGGGCGUAAAGCGUGCGUAGGUUGUUAUUCAAGUUAGUGGUGAAAGCCCAGGGCUUAACUCUGGAACUGCCAUUAAAACUGAAUAGCUAGAGAGUGUUAGAGGUAAGUGGAAUUCCUAGUGUAGGAGUGAAAUCCGUAGAUAUUAGGAGGAACAUCAAUGGCGAAGGCAGCUUACUGGGUCACAUCUGACACUGAGGCACGAAAGCGUGGGUAGCAAACAGGAUUAGAAACCCGUGUAGUCC